CAGCCGCCGCGGGAAUACGUAGGGUGCAAGCGUUAAUCGGAAUUACUGGGCGUAAAGCGUGCGCAGGCGGCUAUAUAAGACAGAUGUGAAAUCCCCGGGCUCAACCUGGGAACUGCAUUUGUGACUGUAUAGCUAGAGUACGGCAGAGGGGGAUGGAAUUCCGCGUGUAGCAGUGAAAUGCGUAGAUAUGCGGAGGAACACCGAUGGCGAAGGCAAUCCCCUGGGCCUGUACUGACGCUCAUGCACGAAAGCGUGGGGAGCAAACAGGAUUAGAUACCCGGGUAGUCCCUGUCUCUUAUAC
This 301-nucleotide ribosomal RNA is filed under the name uncultured bacterium. Its description in RNAcentral is "partial 16S ribosomal RNA". It matches the Rfam family "Bacterial small subunit ribosomal RNA", at positions 509 to 807 of the family's 1533-position model. The record is from RNAcentral.